UACGGAGGAUGCGAGCGUUAUCCGGAUUUAUUGGGUUUAAAGGGUGCGUAGGCGGGCUUUUAAGUCAGCGGUAAAAUUUCGGGGCUCAACCCCGUCGUGCCGUUGAAACUGACACCCUUGAGUGAGUGAGAAGUAAGCGGAAUGCGUGGUGUAGCGGUGAAAUGCAUAGAUAUCACGCAGAACGCCGAUUGCGAAGGCAGCUUACCAAUCUAUAUCUGACGUUGAGGCACGAAAGCGUGGGGAGCAAACAGG
This 252-nucleotide ribosomal RNA is filed under the name uncultured Bacteroidales bacterium. RNAcentral describes it as "partial 16S ribosomal RNA". It matches the Rfam family "Bacterial small subunit ribosomal RNA", at positions 524 to 776 of the family's 1533-position model. The record is from RNAcentral. Lineage: Bacteria; Pseudomonadati; Bacteroidota; Bacteroidia; Bacteroidales.